RNAcentral lists this ribosomal RNA (458 nucleotides) under uncultured bacterium. Its description in RNAcentral is "partial 16S ribosomal RNA". It matches the Rfam family "Bacterial small subunit ribosomal RNA", at positions 338 to 795 of the family's 1533-position model. The record is from RNAcentral.
CCUACGGGAGGCAGCAGUGAGGAAUAUUGGUCAAUGGGCGAUAGCCUGAACCAGCCAAGUCGCGUGAGGGAAGACGGCCCUAUGGGUUGUAAACCUCUUUUGUCGGGGGACAAGGUCGCUAAGUGGUGGGAUUCUAGAGUACCCGAGGGAAAAGCAGCGGCUAACUCAGUGGCAGCAGCCCCGGUAAUUAGGAAGACGCGAGCGUUAACCGGAUUCAUUGGGGUUAAAGGGUGCGUAGGCGGGCGCUAAAGUCAGCGGUAAAAACGCGGGGCUCAACCCCGCCCAGCAGUUGAAACUGGACGCCUUGAGUGGACGACAGGCAGGCGGAAUGCGUGGUGUAGCGGUGAAAUGCAUAGAUAUCACGAGGAACCCCGAUUGCGAAGGCAGCCUGCCGGGGUGCGACUGACGCUGAGGCUCGAAGGUGCGUGUAUCAAACAGGAUUAGAUACCCUUGUAGUC